AGAGAAUUGGCCGAGCGGUUUAAGGCGGUAGCUUUGAGUUUUACUAAGAAUUUAUUUCUUCAUGGGUUCGAAUCCCAUAUUCUCUG
Molecule: non-coding RNA, 86 nt
Organism: Sodiomyces alkalinus F11
Lineage: Eukaryota; Fungi; Ascomycota; Sordariomycetes; Glomerellales; Plectosphaerellaceae
Source: the annotation of a RefSeq genome assembly